ACGGAGGGUGCAAGCGUUAAUCGGAAUUACUGGGCGUAAAGGGUGCGUAGGUUGUUUGAUAAGUUAUCUGUAAAAUCCCCGGGCUUAACCUGGGCAGGUCAGAUAAGACUGUUGAACUCGAGUAUGGGAGAGGGUAGUGGAAUUUCCGGUGGGGUGGUGACAGGCGUAGUGCUGAGACGGAGCAACAGGGGAGAAGGCGGCAACCUGGCUUAAUACCGAGACUACGGCGGCGGAGCGUCGGGAGCAAACAG
Molecule: ribosomal RNA, 251 nt
Filed under: uncultured prokaryote
Description: partial 16S rRNA
Rfam family: Bacterial small subunit ribosomal RNA
Source: RNAcentral